RNAcentral lists this ribosomal RNA (497 nucleotides) under uncultured bacterium. Its description in RNAcentral is "partial 16S ribosomal RNA". It matches the Rfam family "Bacterial small subunit ribosomal RNA", at positions 28 to 507 of the family's 1533-position model. The record is from RNAcentral.
GAUGAACGCUGGCGGCGUGCCUAAUACAUGCCAGUCGAGCGAACGGACGAGAAGCUUGCUUCCCUGAUGUUAGCGGCGGACGGGUGAGUAACACGUGGAUAACCUACCUAUAAGACUGGGAUAACUUCGGGAAACCGGAGCUAAUACCGGAUGAUAUUUUGAACCGCAUGGUUCAAAAGUGAAAGACGGUCUUGCUGUCACUUAUAGAUGGAUCCGCGCUGCAUUAGCUAGUUGGUAAGGUAACGGCUUACCAAGGCAACGAUGCAUAGCCGACCUGAGAGGGUGAUCGGCCACACUGGAACUGAGACACGGUCCAGACUCCUACGGGAGGCAGCAGUAGGGAAUCUUCCGCAAUGGGCGAAAGCCUGACGGAGCAACGCCGCGUGAGUGAUGAAGGUCUUCGGAUCGUAAAACUCUGUUAUUAGGGAAGAACAUAUGUGUAAGUAACUGUGCACAUCUUGACGGUACCUAAUCAGAAAGCCACGGCUAACUACGCG